Molecule: ribosomal RNA, 503 nt
Filed under: uncultured bacterium
Lineage: Bacteria
Description: bacterial SSU rRNA
Rfam family: Bacterial small subunit ribosomal RNA
Source: RNAcentral
AUUGAACGCUGGCGGCGUGCUUAACACAUGCAAGUCGAUCGGUAACAGGUGUAGCAAUACAUGCUGACGAGAGGCGGACGGGUGAGUAAUGCUUGGGAAUCUGCCUAUUAGUGGGGGACAACCCGGGGAAACUCGGGCUAAUACCGCAUACGCUCUACGGAGGAAAGCCGGGGACCGCAAGGCCUGGCGCUAAUAGAUGAGCCCAAGUCGGAUUAGCUAGUUGGUAGGGAACGGCCUACCAAGGCGACAAUCCGUAGCUGGUCUGAGAGGACGACCAGCCACACCGGAACUGAGACACGGUCCGGACUCCUACGGGAGGGCAGCAGUGGGGAAUAUUGGACAAUGGGGGCAACCCUGAUCCAGCGACGCCGCGUGGGUGAAGAAGGCCUGCGGGUUGUAAAGCCCUUUCGGACGGAACGAAAUGGUUAGGUCGAAUACGCCUGACUGAUGACGGUACCGUAAGAAGAAGCACCGGCUAACUACGUGCCAGCCGCCGCGGUAAG